AGUGAACGCUGGCGGUAGGCCUAACACAUGCAAGUCGAACGGCAGCACAGUAAGAGCUUGCUCUUACGGGUGGCGAGUGGCGGACGGGUGAGGAAUACAUCGGAAUCUACUUUUUCGUGGGGGAUAACGUAGGGAAACUUACGCUAAUACCGCAUACGACCUACGGGUGAAAGCAGGGGAUCUUCGGACCUUGCGCGAUUGAAUGAGCCGAUGUCGGAUUAGCUAGUUGGCGGGGUAAAGGCCCACCAAGGCGACGAUCCGUAGCUGGUCUGAGAGGAUGAUCAGCCACACUGGAACGGAGAAGCGGUCCAGCCUCCUACGGGAGGCAGCAGGGGGGAAUUUUGGACAAUGGGGGAAACCCUGUCCCAGCCAUCCCGCGGGGGUGAAGAAGGCCUUCGGGUUGUAAAGCCCUUUUUUUGGGAAAAAAAAGCAGCAGUUUAAUCCCCCGCUGUUCUGGCGGUACCAAAAGAAUAAGCCCCGGCUAACUUCGU
RNAcentral lists this ribosomal RNA (491 nucleotides) under uncultured bacterium. Its description in RNAcentral is "partial 16S ribosomal RNA". It matches the Rfam family "Bacterial small subunit ribosomal RNA", at positions 29 to 506 of the family's 1533-position model. The record is from RNAcentral.